UCUGGCAAUUCUAGCGCAUGUCACUCUUUGGCUUGUGUGACGAUGGAUGCGUUGUCCCAGUCAAAGUGGUGCCCUUCCUCAUCUGUAUGUAAUGUCAUAACCUUCAGUUU
Chiloscyllium plagiosum (whitespotted bambooshark) is the source of this 110-nucleotide non-coding RNA. Lineage: Eukaryota; Metazoa; Chordata; Chondrichthyes; Orectolobiformes; Hemiscylliidae. The record is from RefSeq and is a predicted model, not a curated record.